AUCUGGGGAGGAACAGAACAAAACAGAAGGAGUAGCAUCACUUUGGGUGCGGGAGGACCCUAGGUCUGCGCCCCGGGUGACUGCGUCCUUUCUAACCUUCCGAGCAUCUUCUCCCUACUCUCCCCCCUGGGUCCCAGAGACCUGUUCUGAACUAAGUAAUGUCCUGUCUGAUCUUUGGUUCAUCCCAGAAACCUGGUCCCAGGGUGUGUGAGCCUCUCUUUCUCCCCUCAGAUUUUCCUAGCCCGGUGCCAAGAGAGGACCUGACAGCCAGGAGCGGGGUCGCACCCGCUGCGUGGCGCUGGCACUGUGGCCUGCGCCAACAGAUUGCUCACCCUCCUCCGGGAAAGCUAAGAAAACAGCACUAAGCCUUGCAAGCUGCGGCCCAUUAAUGCCUCUUAGCUAGCAAGAUGGGCGACUUGCUCUGAGCCAGGCCCUCCCCCUCCCUGGCUUCUCACAUUCUCCUCCCCCUCGCCCCUUCUGUUUCCCUCCUCUCCGCGCCGCGGUCCUCUCGCCUUCGCUUUGCUUCUCUCCCUCCACCCAGCCCCCACACCUUCCUUUUGUUUCCAGUUUCUCUUCACCCUCCCCACUUUUCUUUUCCCCUACCCUCCGUUUCCCCCUCUUCCUUUCCUCGUUUCCCCCACUUGCUUCGGGUCGUCCCAGGCCACCCCGCCUUUCAACCGUCCUAGCGCUCCAAAGGCGUCGGGAGCCCCCGCCUCCUCGCCUCUCCUCUCGGUUCCCUGGUCGGUCGGAAGAGAGGAGCCGCAUAUGCACAAAACAUGACAUGGAAAAUGGGCACUUCAACCUCUGGGAACAAAGACUCCUUCCUGCUUUGGCUUUACUGCAAGGGCAUUUUAUGGGAAUGGUUGAAUAUAGCUGUUUUUUUGUUUGUUUGUUUGUUUGUUUGUUUUUUGUUUUUCCCCAAAAGGAAAACAAAAUGUAUGUUGCAGGAGAUGGGAACAUUUCUAAGACCUGCAGCAGCUAGGAUGCGGAGGUCCAUUUGGGGGCUUUCCUUGUCACCUCACCUACUGCCAGCUGUGGGCCUUCUAGUCUACUACUGAGAAAACACUACCCAGUCUGGCACUGAAGGCCUCUUCUCUCUGGGAUCUGUAGUUUCCCCUGUCUGUUGAGAUAGUAGAUAUGGGAAGGGGAGGGGGGCGGGAGCAAGGAGGUUGGCUACUCAAAACCUGAGAAUGGACUAGCAAAGCCUUGCCAAUGCCGUCCAAGCCCCCAAAUCACUGACACACAAUAUGGUUUCAGACUUUCUCUAAGAAACAGGGAGACCCUCCCUCCCUUCCUGAACGUGGCCUCUAUUUUGGUCUGUUUUGGAGGGGCUUUGCCUUUAACUAAAUGUAGCAUCACCCCAAUUCUCCUUAAACCAGAAUCAACUGUUCAAGAGUCCUAGGCAGGCUGCCCACUCACAAGAAGAAAGAUUGGAGAUUAUCUCAAAGGAAAGAUUUUUGUGGAGCAAGAAACUGCUAAACUGCCACUUUUCCUGGGUCCAAGCCUGUCCUGGUGCAGGCCUGUAAGGGUGGAAAGCUUAUGGUAGUGGAAGAUUCUCUUUCUUAGCCUUCCUCAGGCCACCGAAUCCCCUUAGAUAGUGCAGACUUUAAACCAGGGAACUGAGCCUGAGGGCAGCCUUGGCCAGCAGGCAGAAAGGCACAGAUGCCAACCAGCAGAAUAUUGAGCAAAUGGGGCUGGGGGUCGAGAGGGGAGGAGGUGGGGGUGGGAGGAGAACGAGGACAGAAGAUGAGGGUGGGGAGUGAGUGGCAUGUACUCUGACCUCAGCAGAGCCAGCAGAAGGGAAACCCAGGGUCAGAGAGGACACUUACGUGCACACGGUCUUGAUGUUCGUCUUGUCGUCCAGGCCCUGCGGGUAGUUGGCCAUGCUGUCGCCCAGCUUGAGCAAACAGUCUGAAAAGCCCUUAAAGACUGCAUCACACUUGCCCGCUGCUCUCACGGCCUGCACCAGGUAAGCUGUGGGGAGGAGGGACACCAGUAAGCAUCACCGCCACUCUGCCCCACUACUGACCCUAAGGCUCCUUGGCGUGGUCUCUUUUCUGAUCCAGCACUGUGGCCCAGGAUGACCUAUUUGCAUUCGGUCCACCUCUGGUGCAGAUGGAGGGAUCCGAGGGAGCGUGGGUGGGUGAAGAGGGAUAGCAGGGAGGUGAGUCCAUUUAUUUUUCUCCAGCCCGCUCCCAACUGCUCUCUAUUUCUUUUUCUGUUUUCCUCGCCCCCUCUUCUCACCUCCCUCAUCUCCUUUAUUACCCUUUUUUUCCUCACUCCCUCCUUGUCUCUCAACACUUCCUCCAGCAAAAACCCUGUCACGUCUCGCGGUGCAAUCUUCCAUUUUUGUGGUGGCAGAGGAGGUCUGAGAAACAGUGUGCUGGGGACGAAAACGGGCCUGGGAAAGGUGGGGAGGCUGGGGUUACGCAGCUGAACUAAGCGCCACACCCCCAGAAUAGCCAUCGGGUACCCGGAUCUUUGCCAGGAGCUCAACAAAUAAUUGCUGAAUGAAUGAAUGAAUGAAUGAAUGGUCUUUGGAAGACCACAACGGCCAAGGGAACAGGAUAUUAUUAUUAUUAUUAUUAUUAUUAUUAUUAUUAUUAUUAUUAUUAUUAUUACUGUUAUUUUUAUUCUGAUUGCCCAGCUCGGAGUCUCUUCUUUGUGAAACUCUUAGGUGAAUACUUCCUCUGCACCUCUAAAGAAGGGCAAUAAAUGUCAAGAGACCUAGUUGGGAUGAGGAUUGGUCUCAGUAGCUGUGUGUGUGUGUGUGUGUGUGUGUGUGUGUGUGUGUGUGUGUGUUCCCGCGCGUGUGCGCGCGCGCCCUGUUUUCUCUUUGCUUCUCUGCAUCUCUCACCUUUGCACACCCCUUUUAUAUCUCUGGAAACAGCUAGGUCAGACCUUUCUUCUCAAGGCUGCAGCCAGGCUGCUAGGGGCCCAGCAAGCUGCGGCCUAGAACUUUGGCUCGGACAGGGAUGGGGUGGGGGCUGGAGAUGGCACAAUCUGUGGCAGAGGUGGUGGGGGA
This is a long non-coding RNA of Mus musculus (house mouse), 3025 nucleotides long. RefSeq annotates it as predicted gene, 30177. Lineage: Eukaryota; Metazoa; Chordata; Mammalia; Rodentia; Muridae. The transcript has 2 exons. The record is from RefSeq and is a predicted model, not a curated record.